UUUCCGUAGGUGAACCUGCGGAAGGAUCAUUAAAGAUUCGACCUUCGGGUCUAUCUUCUCUUCAGCUGUGCGCUUCGGCUGCACGCUGUUGAACUUCACACACCUGUGCACACUUCGGUUGUGGCUAGUUAACUCUGGUCAUUACCGCUUUUACAUUUAACAACCAAGUCUAGAAUGUCAAUUACAAUAAAAAUAACAACUUUCAACAACGGAUCUCUUGGCUCUCGCAUCGAUGAAGAACGCAGC
This 246-nucleotide unclassified non-coding RNA is filed under the name uncultured fungus. Its description in RNAcentral is "sequence contains ITS1, 5.8S rRNA gene". The stretch from base 198 to 246 matches the Rfam family "5.8S ribosomal RNA", at positions 1 to 49 of the family's 154-position model. Lineage: Eukaryota; Fungi. The record is from RNAcentral.